AUUGAACGCUGGCGGCAGGCCUAACACAUGCAAGUCGAGCGGAUGAAGGGAGCUUGCUCCUGGAUUCAGCGGCGGACGGGUGAGUAAUGCCUAGGAAUCUGCCCGGUAGUGGGGGAUAACGUCCGGAAACGGGCGCUAAUACUGCAUACGUCCUGAGGGAGCAAGUGGGGGAUCUUCGGACAUCACGCUAUCAGGUGAGCCUAGGUCGGAUUAGCUAGUUGGUGGGGUAAAGGCCUACCAAGGCGACGAUCCGUAACUGGUCUGAGAGGAUGGUCAGUCACACUGGAACUGAGACACGGUCCAGACUACUAAGGGAGGCAGCAGAGGGGAAUAUUAGACAGUGGGCGAAAGCCUGAUCCAGCCAUGCCGCGUGUGUGAAGAAGGUCUUCGGAUUGUAAAGCACUUUAAGUUGGGAGGAAGGGCAGUAAGUUAAUACCUUGCUGUUUUGACGUUACCAACAGAAUAAGCACCGGCUAACUUCGUG
RNAcentral lists this ribosomal RNA (484 nucleotides) under uncultured bacterium. Its description in RNAcentral is "partial 16S ribosomal RNA". It matches the Rfam family "Bacterial small subunit ribosomal RNA", at positions 30 to 507 of the family's 1533-position model. The record is from RNAcentral.